AUUGAACGCUGGCGGCAGGCCAAACACAUGCAAGUCGAGCGGUAGAGAGGUGCUUGCAUCUCUUGAGAGCGGCGGACGGGUGAGUAAUGCCUAGGAAUCUGCCUAGUGGUGGGGGAUAACGUUCGGAAACGGACGCUAAUACCGCAUACGUCCUACGGGAGAAAGCGGGGGAUCUUCGGACCUCGCGCCAUUAGAUGAGCCUAGGUCGGAUUAGCUAGUUGGUGAGGUAAUGGCUCACCAAGGCGACGAUCCGUAACUGGUCUGAGAGGAUGAUCAGUCACACUGGAACUGAGACACGGUCCAGACUCCUACGGGGAGCAGCAGGUGGGGAAUAUUGGACAAUGGGACGAAAGCCUGAUCCAGCCAUGCCGCGUGUGUGAAGAAGGUCUUCGGAUUAGUAAAGCUACUUUAAGGUUGGGAGGAAGGGUAGUAACCUAAUACGUUGCUACUUUGACGUUGCCGACAGAAUAAGCACCGGCUAACUUCGU
Molecule: ribosomal RNA, 488 nt
Filed under: uncultured bacterium
Lineage: Bacteria
Description: bacterial SSU rRNA
Rfam family: Bacterial small subunit ribosomal RNA
Source: RNAcentral